UCCCAGACUCCUACGGGAGGCAGCAGUGGGGAAUAUUGGGCAAUGGGCGCAAGCCUGACCCAGCAACGCCGCGUGAAGGAAGAAGGCUUUCGGGUUGUAAACUUCUUUUGACAGGGAAGAGCAGAAGACGGUACCUGUCGAAUAAGCCACAGCUAACUACGUGCCAGCAGCCGCGGUAAUACGUAGGUGGCAAGCGUUGUCCGGAUUUACUGGGUGUAAAGGGCGUGUAGCCGGGCUUACAAGUCAGAUGUGAAAUCCGGGGGCUCAACCCCCGAACUGCAUUUGAAACUGUAGGUCUUGAGUAUCGGAGAGGCAGGCGGAAUUCCUAGUGUAGCGGUGAAAUGCGUAGAUAUUAGGAGGAACACCAGUGGCGAAGGCGGCCUGCUGGGCUUUUACUGACGCUGAGGCUCGAAAGUGUGGGGAGCAAACAGGAUUAGAUACCCGAGUAC
Molecule: ribosomal RNA, 449 nt
Filed under: uncultured bacterium
Lineage: Bacteria
Description: bacterial SSU rRNA
Rfam family: Bacterial small subunit ribosomal RNA
Source: RNAcentral